AACGAACGCUGGCGGCAGGCCUAACACAUGCAAGUCGAACGCCCCGCAAGGGGAGUGGCAGACGGGUGAGUAACACGUGGGAAUCUUCCUCGUAGUACGGAACAACUCAGGGAAACUUGAGCUAAUACCGUAUACGCCCUUCGGGGGAAAGAUUUAUCGCUAUGAGAUGAGCCCGCGUCCGAUUAGCUAGUUGGUGAGGUAAUGGCUCACCAAGGCUACGAUCGGUAGCUGGUCUGAGAGGAUGAUCAGCCACAUUGGGACUGAGACACGGCCCAAACUCCUACGGGAGGCAGCAGUGGGGAAUAUUGGACAAUGGGCGCAAGCCUGAUCCAGCCAUGCCGCGUGAGUGACGAAGGCCUUAGGGUUGUAAAGCUCUUUUGGCGGGGAAGAUAAUGACGGUACCCGCAGAAUAAGCUCCGGCUAACUUCGUGCCAGCCGCCGCAGUAA
Molecule: ribosomal RNA, 447 nt
Filed under: uncultured bacterium
Lineage: Bacteria
Description: partial 16S ribosomal RNA
Rfam family: Bacterial small subunit ribosomal RNA
Source: RNAcentral